CAAAGGCUUGGUCCUGACUUUACUAACAACUUUAGCUUAACUUACACAUGCAAGUAUCCGCACCCCUGUGAGAAUGCCCCACAGUUCCCUGCCCGGGAACAAGGAGCUGGUAUCAGGCAUCUCAACUGAAGCCCAAGACACCUUGCUUAGCCACACCCUCAAGGGACCUCAGCAGUGAUAGACAUUAAGCCAUAAGUGAAAACUUGACUUAGUCACAGCUAAGAGGGCCGGUAAAACUCGUGCCAGCCACCGCGGUUAUACGAGAGGCCCAAGUUGUUAGUCCUCGGCGUAAAGAGUGGUUAGGAACAACCCAAAUACUAAAGCCAAACAUCUUCAAAGCUGUUAUACGCUCUCGAAGACAAGAAGUUCAACCACGAAAGUGGCUUUAAGUUCUCCGAACCCACGAAAGCUAUGGUACAAACUGGGAUUAGAUACCCCACUAUGCCUAGCCGUAAACAUUGAUAGCAAAGUACAUAUGCUGUCCGCCUGGGAACUACGAGCGUUAGCUUAAAACCCAAAGGACUUGGCGGUGCUUUAGAUCCACCUAGAGGAGCCUGUUCUAGAACCGAUAACCCCCGUUCAACCUCACCCUUCCUUGUUUCUCCCGCCUAUAUACCACCGCCGUCAGCUUACCCUGUGAAGGUAUAACAGUAAGCAAAAUUGGCAUAGCCCAAAACGUCAGGUCGAGGUGUAGCGUAUGGAAGGGGAAGAAAUGGGCUACAUUCCCUCCCCCAGGGAAUUACGGACGAUGCAUUGAAAUAUGCAUCCGAAGGAGGAUUUAGCAGUAAGUGAAAAAUAGAGUGUCUCACUGAAAUUGGCCCUGAAGCGCGCACACACCGCCCGUCACUCUCCCCGAGCUACCACACAACCCGUUAACUCAAACCAUUAAAACUGCAAAGGGGAGGCAAGUCGUAACAUGGUAAGUGUACCGGAAGGUGCACUUGGAAAAAU
Molecule: non-coding RNA, 951 nt
Filed under: Masturus lanceolatus (sharptail mola)
Lineage: Eukaryota; Metazoa; Chordata; Actinopteri; Tetraodontiformes; Molidae
Description: 12S rRNA
Rfam family: Bacterial small subunit ribosomal RNA
Source: RNAcentral